CAGACCAGCCUGGAGGUUUGCAGAUGAAGACAAUUUAAAACAGCUUAUCCAGUAGAUGUGUGUGUAGGACUGGGGAACAGAUGAAAUCCUUGCCAGAGGAAGUCCAGAUAGUAUUGAGUUUUGCAGGCUUCUUCCCUCCCGAUCUGUCUGCCAUUUUUCUCUGAGGGCUGCUUUCAGAAGUCAGACUUCCCUGUAAAGGAGAGACUGGGCUGUUAUUGCUUCUUAAUCCUUCCCGGGAAAACUUAGAAGU
Molecule: long non-coding RNA, 250 nt
Filed under: Monodelphis domestica (gray short-tailed opossum)
Lineage: Eukaryota; Metazoa; Chordata; Mammalia; Didelphimorphia; Didelphidae
Description: lncRNA (ENSMODG00000037023.1)
Source: RNAcentral